AACUUUUCGAAUCAAUGCUAAGAUUUCGUUAAACACACUAAUUCAUUAGAGCUAAUCAAACUUUCAAGAUCAGUAAAGUU
RNAcentral lists this microRNA precursor (80 nucleotides) under Schistosoma curassoni. Its description in RNAcentral is "mir-3492 microRNA precursor family". It matches the Rfam family "mir-3492 microRNA precursor family". The record is from Rfam by way of RNAcentral. Lineage: Eukaryota; Metazoa; Platyhelminthes; Trematoda; Strigeidida; Schistosomatidae.